CCCUUAGAUGUUCUGGGCCGCACGCGCGCUACACUGACGAAGUCAGCGAGCAUGUCCUACGCCGACAGGUGCGGGGAAUCUUGUCAAACUUCGUCGUGAUGGGAUUGAUUAUUGAAAUUCUUGAUCAUCAACGAGGAAUUCCUAGUAAGCGCAAGUCAGCAGCUUGCGUUGAUUACGUCCCUGCCCUUUGUACACACCGCCCGUCGCUACUACCGAUUGAAUGAUCCGAUGAAUAUCAUGGAUUGAGGAUGCAAGUAGGUUCACCUAUCUUCAUCUUCGAGAAGUGAAGUAAAUCUUAUCAUUUAGAGGAAGGAGAAGUCGUAACA
This 326-nucleotide ribosomal RNA is filed under the name uncultured eukaryote. RNAcentral's name for it is "partial 18S ribosomal RNA". It matches the Rfam family "Eukaryotic small subunit ribosomal RNA", at positions 1470 to 1796 of the family's 1831-position model. The record is from RNAcentral.